AUUGGGUUGGCCAAAAAGUUCGUUUGGGUUUUUCAUAACAUCUUAUGAAAAACCCGAAUGAACUCUUUGGCCAAUGCAAU
This 80-nucleotide microRNA precursor is filed under the name Tursiops truncatus (common bottlenose dolphin). Its description in RNAcentral is "miRNA (ENSTTRG00000024318.1)". The record is from RNAcentral. Lineage: Eukaryota; Metazoa; Chordata; Mammalia; Artiodactyla; Delphinidae.